GAUGAACGCUGGCGGCGUGCCUAACACAUGCAAGUCGAACGGAGUCCAGCCUUUAAGACCUUCGGGUCAAAGAGGGGAAGACUGAGUGGCGGACGGGUGAGUAACACGUGGGCAACCUGGCUCAUAGAGGGGGAUAACAGAGAGAAAUUUCUGCUAAUACCGCAUAAGCACACACUGCCGCAUGGCAGAGGGUGAAAAGAGAAUCGCUAUGAGAUGGACCCGCGUCUGAUUAGCCAGUUGGCAGGGUAAGAGCCCACCAAAGCGACGAUCAGUAGCCGAUCUGAGGGGAUGAACGGCCACAUUGGGACUGAGACACGGCCCAAACUCCUACGGGAGGCAGCAGUGGGGGAUAUUGCACAAUGGGGGGAACCCUGAUGCAGCGACGCCGCGUGAGUGAAGAAGUAUUUCGGUAUGUAAAGCUCUAUCAGCAGGGAAGAUAAUGACAGUACCUGAAUAAGAAGCCCCGGCUAACUACGUG
Molecule: ribosomal RNA, 478 nt
Filed under: uncultured bacterium
Lineage: Bacteria
Description: partial 16S ribosomal RNA
Rfam family: Bacterial small subunit ribosomal RNA
Source: RNAcentral